GAAGAAGGGAUGCAUAGAAGCUCUAAAGAGACCCUUCUCCCUCCUUUCCCCCCCACCCCCAGAGCUGCUCUCUGGGAAGGAAGGCACCUCUGGAACAUCUCCUGAACUUCAGCUUGACAGAUAUUUCCAAAAUAAUAGUCUCAUUUUCGGAAGACAAGAAUGGGACGGACGAGGAAACAGGACAGGACAGACCCGUGUGGGAGCCAACCCACCCCGCCCAGAAGACAGAUGUGAAACCCUCAAAGCUCAAUUUACAGGAAGACCUCACCCAUCAGCCCAGCUUGGACAUGGGUGGCGGGAGGAAGGCGACCCAUUUAGAGCUGAAUGACUAUGUUCAGAGACGGCGCUAAAUGACACCCUCCACCUCUUUAUGAAGCCA
Molecule: long non-coding RNA, 379 nt
Filed under: Rhinopithecus bieti (black snub-nosed monkey)
Lineage: Eukaryota; Metazoa; Chordata; Mammalia; Primates; Cercopithecidae
Description: lncRNA (ENSRBIG00000046708.1)
Source: RNAcentral